This 465-nucleotide ribosomal RNA is filed under the name Vreelandella stevensii. Its description in RNAcentral is "partial 16S ribosomal RNA". It matches the Rfam family "Bacterial small subunit ribosomal RNA", at positions 338 to 795 of the family's 1533-position model. Lineage: Bacteria; Pseudomonadati; Pseudomonadota; Gammaproteobacteria; Oceanospirillales; Halomonadaceae. The record is from RNAcentral.
CCUACGGGAGGCUGCAGUGGGGAAUAUUGGACAAUGGGCGAAAGCCUGAUCCAGCCAUGCCGCGUGUGUGAAGAAGGCCUUCGGGUUGUAAAGCACUUUCAGUGGGGAAGAAAGCCUUGGGGCUAAUACCCUCGAGGAAGGACAUCACCCACAGAAGAAGCACCGGCUAACUCCGUGCCAGCAGUCGCGGUAAUACGGAGGGUGCGAGCGUUAAUCGGAAUUACUGGGCGUAAAGCGCGCGUAGGCGGUCUGAUAAGCCGGUUGUGAAAGCCCCGGGCUCAACCUGGGAACGGCAUCCGGAACUGUCAGGCUAGAGUGCAGGAGAGGAAGGUAGAAUUCCCGGUGUAGCGGUGAAAUGCGUAGAGAUCGGGAGGAAUACCAGUGGCGAAGGCGGCCUUCUGGACUGACACUGACGCUGAGGUGCGAAAGCGUGGGUAGCAAACAGGAUUAGAUACCCGGGUAGUC